GACGAACGCUGGCGGCGUGCCUAAUACAUGCAAGUCGAACGAAGCACCUUGAUUUGAUUCUUCGGAUGAAGAUCUUGGUGACUGAGUGGCGGACGGGUGAGUAACGCGUGGGUAACCUGCCUCAUACAGGGGGAUAACAGUUAGAAAUGACUGCUAAUACCGCAUAAGACCACAGCACCGCAUGGUGCAGGGGUAAAAACUCCGGUGGUAUGAGAUGGACCCGCGUCUGAUUAGGUAGUUGGUGGGGUAACGGCCUACCAAGCCGACGAUCAGUAGCCGACCUGAGAGGGUGACCGGCCACAUUGGGACUGAGACACGGCCCAA
RNAcentral lists this ribosomal RNA (324 nucleotides) under uncultured bacterium. RNAcentral describes it as "bacterial SSU rRNA". It matches the Rfam family "Bacterial small subunit ribosomal RNA", at positions 28 to 334 of the family's 1533-position model. The record is from RNAcentral.